Molecule: ribosomal RNA, 435 nt
Filed under: uncultured bacterium
Lineage: Bacteria
Description: bacterial SSU rRNA
Rfam family: Bacterial small subunit ribosomal RNA
Source: RNAcentral
GAACGCGAAGAACCUUACCAGGCCUUGACAUCCUAGGAACCCUGAUGAAAGUCGGGGGUGCCCGCAAGGGAACCUAGAGACAGGUGCUGCAUGGCUGUCGUCAGCUCGUGUCGUGAGAUGUUGGGUUAAGUCCCGCAACGAGCGCAACCCUUGUCCUUAGUUGCUAACGGGUAAGCCGAGCUCUCUAGGGAGACUGCCCGCGAAAGCGGGAGGAAGGCGGGGACGACGUCUAGUCCGCAUGGCCCUUACGGCCUGGGCGACACACGUGCUACAAUGCCCGGCACAGAGCGCUGCCACAUCGCAAGAUGGAGCGAAUCGCUAAAUCCGGGCUCAGUUCGGAUUGGGGUCUGCAACCCGACCCCAUGAAGCUGGAAUCGCUAGUAAUCGCGGAUCAGCCAUGCCGCGGUGAAUACGUUCCCGGGUCUUGUACACACC